CUUAGGCUUCCCGAUGAUGGUCUCGGUUGCCCAUAAAGCAACCGGUGAAAAGGGAAUGUGGUGAUGCAACGCAAGUUGCCAAUGCCACGGCUGCCCCCGCAACUGUAGGCGAGGAGCGACAUCCGUUAUCCACUGGCGUCAGGGCCGGGAAGGGGGAUGAAGCUGCGAAUCGCAAGCCAGGAGACCUGCCAUCAGAGGCGGACAUUC
This 207-nucleotide non-coding RNA is filed under the name Rhizobium sp. RNAcentral also lists the same sequence under 1 other name. Lineage: Bacteria; Pseudomonadati; Pseudomonadota; Alphaproteobacteria; Hyphomicrobiales; Rhizobiaceae. The record is from RNAcentral.